UCUCUGGAUACAAGAAGUCCUCACUCUGCCAUCCCUUCUUGAGUGGUGUUAAUGGACUUCCUAUGUGAUCCCGAGGCGGAGUCAGCUGGUGUAAGAGUUGGCAACCAGCUCUGCUCCAUAGAAGGCAUUCACUUAGGAAGCACGACUGGCGGCUUCAUGCGAUUGACCAACAGUUUGUCAUGUACAAUAGCUGGAUGGGGUUCAAGAUUCAGUCAUCGAACAUGAACAGAAAGAUAUGGAAAGAGUUUCGCAUGAAAAUGCAGUAUCGCAAGAACUUGAAGAGGAUUCCAGCAAACUAGAGUCAUCUGAGCCUGCUCAUAGUUCAGCAGCCAGCUUUACAUGCACUGAGUUUCUCCUACAGCAUCCUGCACAGUUCCCUACCACCAGUUCCAGCCCAA
Symphalangus syndactylus (siamang) is the source of this 398-nucleotide long non-coding RNA. RefSeq lists it as uncharacterized. Lineage: Eukaryota; Metazoa; Chordata; Mammalia; Primates; Hylobatidae. The record is from RefSeq and is a predicted model, not a curated record.